Molecule: ribosomal RNA, 765 nt
Filed under: uncultured Streptococcus sp.
Lineage: Bacteria; Bacillati; Bacillota; Bacilli; Lactobacillales; Streptococcaceae
Description: bacterial SSU rRNA
Rfam family: Bacterial small subunit ribosomal RNA
Source: RNAcentral
GACGAACGCUGGCGGCGUGCCUAAUACAUGCAAGUAGAACGCUGAAGAGAGGAGCUUGCUCUUCUUGGAAGAGUUGCGAACGGGUGAGUAACGCGUAGGUAACCUGCCUUGUAGCGGGGGAUAACUAUUGGAAACGAUAGCUAAUACCGCAUAACAAUGGAUGACACAUGUCAUUUAUUUGAAAGGGGCAACUGCUCCACUACAAGAUGGACCUGCGUUGUAUUAGCUAGUAGGUGAGGUAACGGCUCACCUAGGCGACGAUGCAUAGCCGACCUGAGAGGGUGAUCGGCCACACUGGGACUGAGACACGGCCCAGACUCCUACGGGAGGCAGCAGUAGGGAAUCUUCGGCAAUGGGGGCAACCCUGACCGAGCAACGCCGCGUGAGUGAAGAAGGUUUUCGGAUCGUAAAGCUCUGUUGUAAGUCAAGAACGAGUGUGAGAGUGGAAAGUUCACACUGUGACGGUAGCUUACCAGAAAGGGACGGCUAACUACGUGCCAGCAGCCGCGGUAAUACGUAGGUCCCGAGCGUUGUCCGGAUUUAUUGGGCGUAAAGCGAGCGCAGGCGGUUUGAUAAGUCUGAAGUUAAAGGCUGUGGCUCAACCAUAGUUCGCUUUGGAAACUGUCAAACUUGAGUGCGGAAGGGGAGAGUGGAAUUCCAUGUGUAGCGGUGAAAUGCGUAGAUAUAUGGAGGAACACCGGUGGCGGAAGCGGCUCUCUGGUCUGUAACUGACGCUGAGGCUCGAAAGCGUGGGGAGCGAACAGG